GCUUCCUCUUAGUCUUCCUCAUAAUGUAUGCUUUCAAGCUUUAAAGUGGUGUUUCAGUUUUGGAUGUGAAGAUGGGACAUACUUUGUUCUGUGUGCUGGGGUUAUUCUUGCUGAAUACACUCCUCCACUCUGGACAUGCUGAAGCAAAUAAAACCAAACCUGUCCUCACUGUGUCUCCAUCCUGGCUGAGUCCUGGAGCCUCAGUAACUCUGAGCUGCAGUGUUAAAGAUCCAUCUGCAGGAUGGAGGUUCUUCUGGUUUAAGGCUGUUCCCAAACUAUCAGGCAACUCCUACGACCAAGAGCUGCUACCUGGCAGCAGC
Molecule: long non-coding RNA, 320 nt
Organism: Micropterus salmoides (largemouth bass)
Lineage: Eukaryota; Metazoa; Chordata; Actinopteri; Centrarchiformes; Centrarchidae
Exons: 3
Source: RefSeq, a predicted model, not a curated record